AACCUCAUUGUCUGUAGUCUCUAGAUCCAUCCUCCAUCAGUUCCUCUUCCUAGUAACUUGUUGAUAAUGCUUGGUGAGAAUUUCACACAUUUACCCCUUACAAACACCUUGCAGAACUCUCUGUUGCUUCUUUCAUAAAUAUCCUUAGGGAUAUUCACAAUAAACUCUUUUUCUAACCCCUCAUAACAUUGGGGUAGAGCAACCACAGUCUUCAUUAG
This 218-nucleotide long non-coding RNA is filed under the name Lathyrus oleraceus (garden pea). RNAcentral describes it as "Pisum sativum (pea) long non-coding RNA (PSAT_LNC011732)". Lineage: Eukaryota; Viridiplantae; Streptophyta; Magnoliopsida; Fabales; Fabaceae. The record is from RNAcentral.